This 1035-nucleotide long non-coding RNA is filed under the name Gossypium barbadense (sea-island cotton). RNAcentral's name for it is "long non-coding RNA (GBAR_LNC000383)". Lineage: Eukaryota; Viridiplantae; Streptophyta; Magnoliopsida; Malvales; Malvaceae. The record is from RNAcentral.
GCAUUUAUGAUGUUUAAGAAUUUUAAAAACAUGGUAGAAAAAGAAACAAGGAAUAAUAUAUGUUUUUUACGCACUGAUCAAUAUGGAGAGUUCAUGUCAACAAAAUUCAACACUUAUUGUCAUGCAAAUGGAAUCAAGAGGCAACUCACUGCAACUUUUUUCUCUACAAUGAAAAUAGAGUUGUAGAGAGAACUAAUCGAACUCUUUUGAACAUGGUUCGGUGAGAGAACUAAUCGAACUCUUUUGAACACAGUUCGGUGCAUGCUAACUGAAAAAGAAGUUCCGAAGGAGUUUUGGCCAGUAGUUGUAAAUUGGGCAGUGCAUGUUCUCAACAAGUGCCCAACCUUAGCAAUGAAAGAAAAAACCCUAGAAGAAGCAUGGAAAGGAGUCAAGCCUUCAGUGGAUUACUUCAAAGUGUUUGGGUGCAUAAGGCAUGUGUACGUACCUGGAGAAAAAAGAAAGAAACUUGAUGAUAAGAGUUUCAUGUGCAUAUUCCUAGGGGUUAGUGAAGAAUCCAAAGCUUUUCAAAUGUAUGAUCAGGUCUCCAAAAAGAUUGUCAUAAGCCAAUAUGUAAUUUUUGAAGAAUAAGGAAAAUUGAGUUGGAAAAGGAAUGGUGAGGAAACUUACAUCACUGAUCUUAAAUGGAAAGAUGAAGGAAAAAAAUACAGAAUUAGAGUUGGAGGAAAAUGAAGAGAGAGAAGAAGAAAAUGAAAGUGAGUAUUCGAACUCACCUACAUCAACCAAUGUCACAAGUCCAACUUUAGGGAGGAAAAGGAUUGAGCCGGUAUGGAUGAAUGAUUAUGUAAGUGGUGAAGGAUUGUCUGAGGAAGAAGAUGAAGUACACAAAAACUUGCUAUGGAGAUACAAUAACUCUCUAUGUUUGUUGCAAAUGAUCCAACAACCUUUGAGAAGGUUGUGAAAAGUUCAACUUGGAGAGAAGCUAUGGACUGAGAAAUUGAAGCUAUUGAGAAGAAUGGAACAUAGAAACUAACUAACUUGUCGAUAGGAGCAAAAAAGGCGGGUGUUAAAUGGGUU